ACUCCUACGGGAGGCAGCAGUAGGGAAUCUUCCACAAUGGACGAAAGUCUGAUGGAGCAACGCCGCGUGAGUGAUGAAGGGUUUCGGCUCGUAAAACUCUGUUGUUGGAGAAGAACAGGUGUCAGAGUAACUGUUGACAUCUUGACGGUAUCCAACCAGAAAGCCACGGCUAACUACGUGCCAGCAGCCGCGGUAAUACGUAGGUGGCAAGCGUUGUCCGGAUUUAUUGGGCGUAAAGCGAGCGCAGGCGGUUUCUUAGGUCUGAUGUGAAAGCCUUCGGCUUAACCGGAGAAGUGCAUCGGAAACCAGGAGACUUGAGUGCAGAAGAGGACAGUGGAACUCCAUGUGUAGCGGUGAAAUGCGUAGAUAUAUGGAAGAACACCAGUGGCGAAGGCGGAUGUCUGGUCUGUAACUGACGCUGAGGCUCGAAAGCAUGGGUAGCGAACAGGAUUAGAUACCCUGGUAGUC
Molecule: ribosomal RNA, 468 nt
Filed under: uncultured bacterium
Lineage: Bacteria
Description: bacterial SSU rRNA
Rfam family: Bacterial small subunit ribosomal RNA
Source: RNAcentral